AGAGUUUGAUCAUGGCUCAGGACGAACGCUGGCGGUGUGCUUAAGACAUGCAAGUCGUGCGGACCGUAGCAAUACGGUCAGCGGCGGACGGGUGAGUAACACGUGGAUAACCUGCCUGACUCCCCGGGAUAACAGGCCGAAAGGCCUGCUAAUACCGGGUAAGCUCACGGGGCCGCAUGGUCCUGGGAGAAAAGCUCCUGCAAGGGAGUGGGGUCAGAGGGGUCCGCGGCCCAUUAGCUAGUUGGGGGGGUAACGGCCCACCAAGGCGACGAUGGGUAGCCGGCCUGAGAGGGCGACCGGCCACACUGGGACUGAGACACGGCCCAGACUCCUACGGGAGGCAGCAGUCGGGAAUUUUGGGCAAUGGCCGAAAGGGCUGACCCAGCAACACCGCGUGAGUGAAGAAGGCCUUCGGGUUGUAAAGCUCUGUUGCCCGUGAAGAACGGUACUAUCAGGAAAUGGGUAGUACUUGACGGUAGCGGGUGAGGAAGCUCCGGCUAACUACGUGCCAGCAGCCGCGGUAAUACGUAGGGAGCGAGCGUUGUCCGGAUUUAUUGGGCGUAAAGGGCGUGUAGGCGGCUUUUUAAGUCUGAAGUGAAACGCCAGGGCUCAACCCUGGAACUGCUUCGGAUACUGGGAAGCUUGAGUACUCUAGAGGGCAGUGGAAUUCCGGGUGUAGCAGUGAAAUGCGUAGAGAUCCGGAGGAACACCAGUGGCGAAGGCGACUGCCUGGGGAGAAACUGACGCUGAGGCGCGAAAGCUGGGGGAGCAAACGGGAUUAGAUACCCCGGUAGUCCCAGCCGUAAACGAUGAGUGCUAGGUGUAGGGGGUAUCGACCCCCCCUGUGCCGGAGUUAACGCAAUAAGCACUCCGCCUGGGGAGUACGGCCGCAAGGUUGAAACUCAAAUGAAUUGACGG
Molecule: ribosomal RNA, 918 nt
Filed under: uncultured bacterium
Lineage: Bacteria
Description: bacterial SSU rRNA
Rfam family: Bacterial small subunit ribosomal RNA
Source: RNAcentral